RNAcentral lists this microRNA precursor (100 nucleotides) under Notamacropus eugenii (tammar wallaby). Its description in RNAcentral is "miRNA (ENSMEUG00000017346.1)". The record is from RNAcentral. Lineage: Eukaryota; Metazoa; Chordata; Mammalia; Diprotodontia; Macropodidae.
UGUGUGUUUGUGUAUGUAUGCAUGUGCAUGUGUAUGUAUGCAUAUGCAUAUAUGUAUGUGUAUACAUAUAUAUUACAUGCAAUACAGACAGAAUCAAAAU